Molecule: ribosomal RNA, 863 nt
Filed under: uncultured bacterium
Lineage: Bacteria
Description: bacterial SSU rRNA
Rfam family: Bacterial small subunit ribosomal RNA
Source: RNAcentral
AUUGAACGCUGGCGGCAUGCCUAACACAUGCAAGUCGAACGGCAGCACAGCAGAGCUUGCUCUGUGGGUGGCGAGUGGCGGACGGGUGAGUAAUGCAUCGGGACCUACCCAGACGUGGGGGAUAACGUAGGGAAACUUACGCUAAUACCGCAUACGUCCUAUGGGAGAAAGCAGGGGACCUUCGGGCCUUGCGCGGUUGGACGGACCGAUGUGCGAUUAGCUAGUUGGUAGGGUAAUGGCCUACCAAGGCGACGAUCUUUAGCUGGUCUGAGAGGAUGAUCAGCCACACUGGGACUGAGACACGGCCCAGACUCCUACGGGAGGCAGCAGUGGGGAAUAUUGGACAAUGGGCGAAAGCCUGAUCCAGCAAUGCCGCGUGAGUGAAGAAGGCCUUCGGGUUGUAAAGCUCUUUUGUCAGGGAAGAAACGGGAUGUCCUAAUACGGUGUCCUAAUGACGGUACCUGAAGAAUAAGCACCGGCUAACUACGUGCCAGCAGCCGCGGUAAUACGUAGGGUGCAAGCGUUAAUCGGAAUUACUGGGCGUAAAGCGUGCGCAGGCGGUUAUGUAAGACAGGUGUGAAAUCCCCGGGCUUAACCUGGGAAUGGCAUUUGUGACUACAUAGCUAGAGUGUGUCAGAGGGGGGUAGAAUUCCACGUGUAGCAGUGAAAUGCGUAGAGAUGUGGAGGAAUACCGAUGGCGAAAGCAGCCCCCUGGGACAUGACUGACGCUCAUGCACGAAAGCGUGGGGAGCAACAGGAUUAGAUACCCUGGUAGUCCACGCCCUAAACGAUGCGAACUGGAUGUUGGUCUUAACUCGGAGAUCAGUGUCGAAGCUAACGCGUUAAGUUCGCCGCCUGGGGAG